Long non-coding RNA from Carcharodon carcharias (great white shark), 5510 nucleotides. RefSeq lists it as uncharacterized. Lineage: Eukaryota; Metazoa; Chordata; Chondrichthyes; Lamniformes; Lamnidae. The transcript has 2 exons. The record is from RefSeq and is a predicted model, not a curated record.
GUCAGAGAUGAUUUCUAAGGAGAGAAUUCCAGAAUGUGGGGCCUAGAUUCCUGAAGGUUACCCCUGCCAAUAUUAGUGUGAAGAGUGGGAUGCAAGAGAGGAGUCUCCCUGUCUGAUCAAAUAGUGUCAACGAAUCUUAACUCCUACCUACACCAGUGGAUUAGGAAGACGUGCCUAACAUCUAAAGGACAGCCCUCGAGCAAGAGUGGACAAUUUUGGGUCGCAGCUUCUCAAACACCUGCCAUCAUCGCUGCUGUUUGCCAGGCUGAUAGAAGAUGAACGUCUGAGAUGGUUGCUGCACACUCCAUUGAAGAGUGCCACAAUUCUGCUAACCAUUAAAUCUUAUAGUGCAUCCUUUCUACCUGCUCCACCCAUGGAAAAUUGGUGGGAGAGAAAAACAAUGCCUAAAAUUGCAUAUGAUACAGAAAUGUCAUUUGGCCAGACACCACAAAGUAAGUCAUGGAAAUACUAAGCAAGAGCUUAAAGUUAUUCCAGGCAAAGCCACAAGGGGAAAAAGUCAGUGUCAUUGAGGUGUUUGAUUUGCCAAUUUAUACUGAAUUAUAUAACCAAGGAUGUCACUUGUAAAGCUGCAUCACCAACUUGAGGUGAUCUUGAUAUACUGUAUUAUCAAGGACCUAGAGCUGUUUUAAAACCUUGGCCAGAAGAUGUAUUUGUUGGGCAGCUAUGCUGCUGUCUGCCAAAAUACUGGAAUCAAUUGAGAUCUGUGUGACAUGGAUAUUAAGGCUAUCAGCUUUGAAGUUUUUUUGGAAGAGAUGAAGGCUGACUUUCAAACUGAACAUUGCACUAGAUUGAGAGUAACCUGAGCAGACUUAAACUGAUGAGAACAGCUUCAGUUUUUUUGCUUCGUCCACUGCAAAGUGGAGGAGGUGCAUAUUUCCAGCCAUGGUAUCUUUUUUGUUUGAAAUGCUAGCAAUUAACCAUAGAACAGUGGAGUGCAGUAACAAGUGUCUGAAUAUGGAGUGGGUUACACAACAUCCCAAGCUCUCUAGGCCAAAGUAUGAAGCCAUCUGUACCAGUAACGGCAGACCACACCCAGCAAGUGCACAAAACUGCUCCUUUUUCAAGAUUGUCAGACAUCCAUAAGACAAAUCUAGCCUGCAAGAAGCAUGAAAUUAGACCUAUGCAAAGAGUGACUGUCAAAGAACCUGAUUACAGUUAGAUCUUGGACAAGAACAUCAACAAGCAGCAUCAAUGAAAUCCUCACCACUGUCUGCCAAUAUCUAAGCUGGGACUUGCUCCCUCUCACCUUGAGGGUGCUAUCAUGCAUUAUGAUUGAAGUAUGUACUGACAAUCAAACAAUGCCUUAUGUUGCUAGUGAUUCCAUGUAGAUCACUAAUCUGUAACAAAUGAAGUCAUUACUUAUUGAACAAGGCAGCUAGAACAAUUUCCUCAGUCCAGCAAAAGCUGGCUAAUCCAACAUUGCUGUAAUUCAGGAAAAUGGGUUGGGCAAUGAGAUGGAGCAGUUUCUUGAUGCAGUGUAAAAUCGGCACUGCUUGUAGAAUGGAAUAUGUGAAUCUUUGAAUUAUUAAGCACUAAGUGUUUACUGUUCAGGGACUUUUGCACCUUGAACUUGCCCAAAAGAGCACUCCAAUUUGCAACAACAUGCUAAUCCUGGAAGGAUUCAAUGCAAAGCAACCUGUAAGGCUGUAUUAACAGUACAUAAAUGGGCUGCUGAAUGUAACCAAUAUUCUUGGUUACAGUAUCAUGACCAUGGCAGCAACUUCAAUUCCUGUGACCUGUUUGACUUGACCAUUGUCCUGCUAGCUGCAGCCAGCAUAUGCCUUUGAGGAUGUGGAGAAUUACUUUUACCAACCAUCUCCCUACCUAACUGCAACCUUUCUGUAUGUGAAACCAAAUCAAGAAAUUGAACUGAGUAUAGAAAGUGGAGCAUUAUGAAUGAAUUUAAUUGGAGCUCUCAAAAUAUUGAGCACAACCCCUGCAAGAGAAGAUUGAAGAACUGUGUGCAAAUGUCCUAGCCCAACUAAUUACUUCAGUGGACUCCAAGUAAGGCUAUGCAAGAAAAGGUGGCAUCACCUGUCAUGACAGCUCCAACUGGUCAAAUGUUGUACAAACCAAACCAAAAUUUCUUAAGCCAGUAAUUACUGGGUCAUUAUUAGCAUAUUGAGUUGGCUUAAUGUUUCCAGCAUCACCUUCAAAAUAUUGGCUGCUUGAAUUCAACUGAAGCAGGGUUGGGAGAGGAAGAAACACCAACUUGUUACAGCCAUCAGCACAUCUUCCAAACCAUUUUGAGUGGUAUACCUGUUUGACAUAAAGACUUUUUUUGAAGUUUGACACAAUGUACUAUGAGAACUCUGAGCUGGUUCAGUUGGUGCCAAAUUGCUUGAUGCAGCCUACCUGCUGUUACUGAACAUUGACAGUUUCCAAAUUUUGCCCAAAUGCAGACCUUCUGCCUUCAUCCCAGGCUGUUCUUAGCUUGCUAUCUGCCCAAUACCGAAUGACUUUCCAGUUUUUUGCAUAGUCAGCCACAGACUCUGGAUAAUACAGGCACAUAAUGCUCUCUAUGCUGUGCUCAAGCCUGACAUCUGGGUUUCAAGCAAUGAAAAAAAAUGUUUUGGGGUUGAAGUACUUGCACAAAGCAAAGAAAAAUACUAAUUAAGGAACCAGGUACAGAACCCAUCUCUGUGCAUUUGCAACACUACAUAGCUGUGGACCUGUAAUGUACAGAAUGUUAGUAACAUUGAAAUGCCCUAUGUAUCCAAAGUGUCCAGAUAACUUGGAAAUGUGAACAGGAGGAAAUAGUAAAACUUCAGAAUAGCAUAGGCUGGUGAAAUGGGCAGAAAUGUGCUCUAUGAUUUGAUGCAGAGAUGCAUUUUGGUAAGAAGAAUGUGGAAAGUGAUAUAAACUAAAUGGGGUGGAGAAGUAGGGACACCUGGGAAUGGUUACACCAUGUUGGCUGUUCUAUAAAAAGUCUACAGAAUCCUAUGCCUGUUUUUAAAGCCAAGAGUGCAAAAUCAAGAAAUUCACACUAAUUUCUUUUGUCAAUCAUGGGUUAGGCUGCAGUUGUAAUAUUGCAUCCAAUUCUAGAACCACCUUUUAGGAAGGAUGUCAAGGCCUUGAAGGGUGCAGAGGAGGUUGAUUAUAGAAUGGUACAAAGGAUGCACGACUUAAGUUACAUAGAGAGACUAAAGCAGCUGAAGUUGCCCUUAGAGCAGUGAAGAUUAAAGGAGGGUUUAAUAAAGGCACUCUAUCAUGAAUGGUUUUAAGAGCUGAUGGGGUGAAACUGCUUUCACGAGCAGAAAGGGUAGUAACCAGCGUAUUUAAGCUAACAGGCAAAAGAAUGUGAUAAUUUUCCAGUGCAGCAAAUUAUGAUGUGGCAUGCACUACCUGAAAAGGUGGUGGAAGCGGAUUCAAUUUUCAGAAUUAGAUUAUAUAAAAAAAAACUUGCAAUUUCCUAGCACCUUUCAUAACAAUGUGCUAAGGAAGCACUUAAGUGUCGACACUAAUGUAGAAAAUACUUAAGUUGUAGGUGAUUAACCAGCUUGACUGCAGUUGUACUUAGUCCAAACUCAGUUUAAAACACCUGAUCUCAUUUAUUUGAGCACUCAGUUCAAAAAUGUUGCUGUCGACUUUAUCCAUUCUUCUGAAAAGUUCCUGGUUAAUUUCUAAUCUUGCCUAUGAGCUUGAAAACAUUUUUAGAUGACUCCCAAGUUUUCUUUCCUGUUCAAACACCCCAAAGAUACAAGGCAGUGAACUUGAGCAUUUUGUGGGGAAAAUCAUGAGCACAGGUCUGAACCCUUGCUCAGACAGUACAUAGAAGCACUGGUACACCAACCACGCCGAGCUUGCAGCAUGCAGCAAUAAUUGAAUUUUGCUCUGCUUAGAGGCAGCAGAGUUUACACUGGAAUGAGGGAAUCAAUCCCAUGUUGGUGGUCUUGUUCUCCAGUUGCUUUUUACUGUAGUGUGAAAUGUUGAAAUGGCUUAAUAGACUCUGACGUCGACUGUUUUCUACAUAUAGUGAAAGUGGCAGAAGCAAAAUUGGAAAUGAGGUAACAGCAUGCUUGGUCUGCAUGUGCACAGUGCUGAUUGGCCAAUGAGUCCCUGGUGAAUCUAUGAUAAUUAACUUUAAAGACUUAGCAUUACAUUCCUUGAAUUUGUAAAUUCUGAACCUUUUAUCCAUCUUAUUGCAUAUUGUGGAAACCUGAAUUUCUUGAAUGUGGAAUACAAGGAUCAGGAAAUCAUUGCUCUCUGACCAGACCUAAAGUUUAAAAGUACCAUUCUCUUUAUUUCAAGCUGUUCAACUUGUUUUCUCUGAAUCUCUUGUCUCUUGAGCUGUGCCUGCACUGUCAAAUCUACUCUAAGUAUUAUAGCUAAAUAUAAACUCAAUUUGAGCUGCAUACACACUCUCUUCCCUUGUGGAGAAUCUUGCAGAUGGUACAUUUGGAUAUACUGGAUGCACCAUCUCUGCAAGUUUGCUUUGAACCUUAUGACUGAACUGGUAUCUUGCAUGCCAUCUGAAGUUUAUUUUAGAUGUUUACUUGUAGCUCAACAGAGAACUUAAGCACAUAAUCUAGGCUGAGACUCCAGUGUAUUACUGAAGGGGUGCUGCACUGUUGAAGAUGUAGUAAUUUGGAUCGUUCUGCCCUUUCAGGUAGAUGUAAAAGAUCCCAGCACACUAUUUUGAAGAGCAGGGGAGUUCCCCCUGGUGUCCUUCCAUUUGUUCCUUAACAUUUUUUUUAGAACAACUUGAUUUAUUUUGCCAUUAACUAAUUGUUUUAAGAUUUGUUUGCAAAUUCCCACAUUUCCUUCAUGACAGUGCUUUAAGUACUUUAUUGACUGUAAAAUGUUUUGGGGAUUCCUGAAGGUGUGAAAGGCAAGUAUUUUUUACAAAAUUUAAAAUCAGAUUAUAUAUAGAAUAUGGGAGUGUUGGCUUUAUAUAAAUACUGCAAUUUUAACAUAACCCAUACUUUCAAAUAUUUAAUCAGUAAUUGGUCGAGUGCAGUAGUUUUUCCCUCUAAAUAGCAUGGGGUGCUCGACACAUUAUCUUAGAUAAAUUCCAGCUGCUGGAGUAGAAAUGGAAAAUCCAUUUAAUGUCAUCCUAAAUAAACUGCUUGCUAAUUAAGCAUUUUCUCUACCUAAUGAAUUGUUCAAAUGGCAGAUUUUUCUUGCACCAACAUUCCAGCAAAAAAGGUCUGGCAGUAAAAGGUUCUGUUAUUUUAUUUAUCAGGUUUGUAACUGGCAUAAGGAAUUUUUGUGAUCUCAUUUUACAAUGUUUAAUUCUUAAGCUGUCUGUCUUAUUUCAAUGCAAGCUGUGGAUGAUGCUCAGUAAUGUUUUGUAAAGGAGUCUUAACGAAGCUGCAAGCUGAAGUUGAACAGGUUUUUUGUUGGCGAUGGCAAGAUGACAUGUAAAAUUACCCAGUGAUGUUUGCUGAGAUGUCAUGGGGAAACCAAAGCAGCAGCCUGUGCUGUUAAAGAGCAAAUUGCUCAGCAGGUCAAGUAGCAUCUGUAGACAAAUAAAUGACAUUUCUAGU